CACGUAGGGUGCGAGCGUUGUCCGGAAUUAUUGGGCGUAAAGAGCUCGUAGGCGGUGUGUCACGUCGAUCGUGAAAACUUUCAGCUUAACUGGGAGCUUGCGGUCGAUACGGGCAUCACUGGAGUUCGGCAGGGGAGACUGGAAUUCAAGGUGUAGCGGUGAAAUGCGCAGAUAUCUUGAGGAACACCGGUGGCGAAGGCGGGUCUCUGGGCCGAUACUGACGCUGAGGAGCGAAAGCGUGGGGAGCGAACAGG
RNAcentral lists this ribosomal RNA (254 nucleotides) under uncultured bacterium. RNAcentral's name for it is "partial 16S ribosomal RNA". It matches the Rfam family "Bacterial small subunit ribosomal RNA", at positions 524 to 776 of the family's 1533-position model. The record is from RNAcentral.